UCGAACGAGAAAGCCCGCAAGGGCGAGUAAAGUGGCGUACGGGUGAGUAACACGUGGGUAAUCUGCCUUUUGGUGGGGAAUAACCCUGGGAAACCGGGGCUAAUACCGCAUAAGCUCGAAAGAGGAAAAGAGAAAUUUGCCGAAAGAGGAGCCCGCGGCUGAUUAGCUAGUUGGUGAGGUAAAGGCUCACCAAGGCGAAGAUCGGUAGCCGGCCUGAGAGGGCACACGGCCACACUGGCACUGAAACACGGGCCAGACUCCUACGGGAGGCAGCAGUGGGGAAUCUUGCACAAUGGGGGAAACCCUGAUGCAGCGACGCCGCGUGAGCGAUGAAGCCCUUCGGGGUGUAAAGCUCUUUCGGCAGGAACGAUAAUGACGGUACCUGAAGAAGAAGCUGCGGCUAACUACGUGCCAGCAGCCGCGGUAAUACGUAGGCAGCGAGCGUUG
This 447-nucleotide ribosomal RNA is filed under the name uncultured bacterium. RNAcentral describes it as "bacterial SSU rRNA". It matches the Rfam family "Bacterial small subunit ribosomal RNA", at positions 62 to 543 of the family's 1533-position model. The record is from RNAcentral.